CAUGUUGAGCAUCUGUCUUCAGCACCAUGGUAUCUGAGGGGGUGAGCCUGAAUUUAGAGAAAGUUAGAAACGUAGACGGCUUCAGACCUAGUUUUCAAAAUGGACAUUUUAUGAACAAAGCAAUUGAUUAGUAUUGGAAGAAAGCGUGUUUAUUUUCAGUUCCUACAUGAAGUUAUCUGCCAUUUGGCCAAUUCAAAACAAGCUAGUGUUUUGAAAAGUAAGAGAGGAGCGUUUUAAUUAUAAAACCAAUAAAGCAGAAAUAGCUAACUAUACACAUCCUGACUUUAAUGUAUCAUCCAUUUAACAUAUAUUUGAAAUCAAUUUCCUUGCAUUUUAAAAACCAGUCAUUAUACCUCAGUUUUAAAAAAGACAAAACACUCUACCAUAGAAGCCAUGUGGUUGGCAAAUAGCAGCAAGAAAAGAUGCUCAGUAUCAUUAGACACGAGGAAAUCACAAAUUAAAAUCACAGUGAGUUAUUUCUGUAUAUGAAACAGAAUGGCUAAAAUGGUUUUUGUUAAAACUGACAAUAGGGAGUUCCUGUCUUGGCUCAGUGGUUAACGAACCCAACUAGCAUCCAUGAGGACACAGGUUUGCUCCCUGGCCUUGCUCAGUGGGUUAGGGAUCUGGCGUUGCCGUGAGGUGUGGUGUAGGUCGCAGAUGCGGCUCGGAUCCCGAGUUGCUGUGGCUGUGGUGUAGGCCAGCGGCUACAGCUCUGAUUAGACCCCUAGCCUGGGAACCUCCAUUGCUGUGGAUGCAGCCCUAAAAGACAAAACAAACAAACAAACAAACUGACAAUGCCAAGUGCUACUGAGGAUGCAGAGCAAUUAAAAUUCCUUAUAGGGCAGUCGCAAAAGCCUUACAGUAAGUGACAGAGCCAGUUACCAAAGCCAGGUUACAUACUAUGUGGUCUCCGCUUAUUCUGGACAUCUUGGAAAAGGGACAGAAGUCAGGUUAGUGGUUGCCAGGGGCAGUGUGGGGAGAAGAUUGACAGCAGGAGGGCCCGAGGGACCUCUGGGAGGUGGGAGUAUUCUCUGCCCUGACGUGCUGAUGGUUAUGCACGCCGUGUGUCCAUCUCAACACAUCCAAGUCUCUACCUGUAAAAGGUAGUUUUUAUUUUAUGUCGGUUACAUCUCCGUUUACAAGAGACCAGCGGGUCUGCUCUGAGGACGACCACCCGCACGCUGUGCAGGGAGGGACUGGGAAAGCCACGCUGCUCUGCCGCUGGGUGGUGUGUGGGGGUGGAAGCAGUGAUCCCUGGUGAAUGUUCCCGAGUGUGGACGGAAGUGGUGAGCUGUCACUGACUUUUCCCUGAGCAAAGGACAGCAGGGCAGACCUUGCCUGUGGUCGUGAGCACUCCCUUGCCCCUCAGCCCCAGCAGUGCCGCACAUAAGCCUAAAUAAAGCACGUGCUUCUGGAAACAUCCUCUGUAUUCCUUGCUUUUCAGAUUUCAAGAGCUGUUGUUUAAAUGUGAACAGUAUCUGUGCUAAGUGCUGAGGGGUUGUACCAUGUGUACCUUGUAAAGAAAUGGCCUUUCUUUCCCUGAAUCUUUGUACGAGGGGUUUUGAAAAUCAGAGAGGUAGGCAGGUUUCUAGAGAGCCAACAUAUUUUCAUAUUGAUUACUAAUUUGAAUAAUGUUGGUAACAGUGAGAUGAAAGCUAGGUCUACAUCGUGCUUUCAUGUCAGCUGUCAAGUCUGUAUCCGGCUGUGAUUAUCUUCGCUCUUCUUGCCACCAGCUCAGCAAUACUGAGUUGCAUGUCAUUGGAUUUUUUUUUUUUUUUCCUUUUUUUCAUGCUGCUGUAAAUUUCCAACUGAGAGCAAGGCCCUAUUUUAAGGGAAGUGAACACGUGAUGUCACUUCUAACUGGUUGUGAAAUGCUUUCUUUCGCCUUCCUAUAAAGGGGCCAAAGGAUGGAACUGAAAGCUCAGGUUCAGCUUCUGUGUUCUUGUGACCUCCUGGCCUGUUCUUGAGGAGACGGUGAUGGGUCGUGGGGUCCGAGAGCUCUUUGUGCACUGCAGCAAGCCCGCUGGAAGUCAUUCCAGACCUCUGGAGAAGGCCGCCCAGGCCACCUGACUUCCGGGGCUCCUUGCUGUUCCCCAGGAUUCCGACUGCCAUUGGAGCGGGGUCAUCUCAGGGACAUCCCUUCCUGGAGGGACACGGUCCCCUUCUCUCCCGCUGCCCAUCUCCAUGUGCCCUGUCCCUUUGCAAGGUCGUACUGCAACUCCGCUGCUAACUUUUCUUCAACUUGGAGACCUCGGGUCCAGGUGGGAGGAACUCGGUGGUGUGAACUGUUCCUAAGUCAGAGUUGAACAGGUUACCUGGCAGAGAGGGGACUGUACCCUUUUCUGUGGGAGGGGGAGCCUGUCCUCCCUGUUCUCUAGGAGCUGCAGAGUAACUCUAAACAGAGAUGAACUAGGAGAGCGAUCAGCUGGGCCGAGACCUUUAGAAAUGAUAAAACUGACCAGAGGGUGACUACACUUUUUGAAGACAGUGGGAGGAAAGGAUUGAAAAUAUAAGAUCAGGAGUUCCCUGGUGACCCAGCAGGUUGAGGAUCUGGCAUCGUCACUGCUGUGACUCAGAUCACUUCUGUGGCACGGGUUAGACCCCUGACCUGGGAACUUUGCUGUGAGUGUGCCCCCCCAAAAAAAUACAAUAGAUCAUUUUUCUCUCAUAUUUCGUACAAGUGCUCCCGUAUCAGCUACACAGAAUCCUUUCUAAUUAGCAACUCAACGAAACGUAUUGACUACUUCGAUUUUCACUCUAAAUUAGCCGCUAAUAUUUUCUCAGUUACUCUUAUUAUUUAUGAUUUAGAUAAGCUAGUCUCUCGCUCUCUUUUUUCCUUUUCAUAUGCAUUCGAGGCAUACGGAAGUCCCCAGGCCAGGGGUUGAAUCUAAGCUGCAACUGCAACCUAUGCCACAACUGCAUCAACACUGGAUCCUUAACCCACCACAGCAGGAACUCCUAGUCUCUCCUUUCAUGUGUGAGAAAAAGUAGUCUAACCUCACGUCGGCCCAUGUCAAAGCAGAGAAAAGUCUGAGCUUUGCCAUCAAGACUGCUACCUGGGGGAGUGCCCGUUAUGGCUCAGUGGGUUAAGAACCCCACAUAGUGUCCAUGAAGAUGCAGGUUCAGUUCCUGGCCUUGUUCAGUGGGGUAAAGAUCUGGCAUUGCCACAGCUGUGGCAUAGGUCACAGAUGUGGCUUGGAUCCUGCCUUGCUGUGGCUGUGGUGUAGGCUGGUAGCUGCAGCUGUGAUCCAGCCCUAGCCCGGGAACUUCCAUAUGCCGUGAGUGUGGC
Molecule: long non-coding RNA, 3289 nt
Filed under: Sus scrofa (pig)
Lineage: Eukaryota; Metazoa; Chordata; Mammalia; Artiodactyla; Suidae
Description: lncRNA (ENSSSCG00035026782.1)
Source: RNAcentral